Molecule: ribosomal RNA, 484 nt
Filed under: uncultured bacterium
Lineage: Bacteria
Description: partial 16S ribosomal RNA
Rfam family: Bacterial small subunit ribosomal RNA
Source: RNAcentral
AGUGAACGCUGGCGGCAGGCCUAACACAUGCAAGUCGAGCGGCAGCGCGGGGGCAACCCUGGCGGCGAGCGGCGGACGGGUGAGGAAUUCGUCGGAAUCUGCCUUUUUGUGGGGGAUAACGUAGGGAAACUUACGCUAAUACCGCAUACGUCCUACGGGAGAAAGUGGGGGACCGCAAGGCCUCACGCAGAAAGAUGAGCCGACGACCGUUUAGCUAGUUGGUGGGGUAAAGGCCCACCAAGGCGACGAUCGGUAGCUGGUCUGAGAGGAUGAUCAGCCACACUGGAACGGGAACGCGGCCCGGACGCCUCUGGGAGGCGGCAGUGGGGAAUGUUGGACAGUGGGCGCAAUCCUAGUCCAACCGGGCCGCGUGUGUGAAGAAGGCGUUCGGUUUGUUAAGCACUUUUGUUGGGAAAGAAGUCCCUGGAGCUAAUACCUUCGGGGGGUGACGGUACCGGAAGAAUAAGCACCGGCUAACUUCGUG